UACAGAGGUCCCGAGCGUUGUUCGGAUUCAUUGGGCGUAAAGGGUGCGUAGGUGGCGCUGUAAGUGGGGUGUGAAAUCCCGGGGCUUAACUCCGGAACUGCAUUCCAUACUGCGGUGCUUGAGGACUGGAGAGGAGCGCGGAAUUCCCGGUGUAGCGGUGAAAUGCGUAGAGAUCGGGAGGAAGGCCGGUGGCGAAGGCGGCGCUCUGGAACAUUUCUGACGCUGAGGCUCGAAAGCGUGGGGAGCAAACAGG
RNAcentral lists this ribosomal RNA (253 nucleotides) under uncultured bacterium. Its description in RNAcentral is "partial 16S ribosomal RNA". It matches the Rfam family "Bacterial small subunit ribosomal RNA", at positions 524 to 776 of the family's 1533-position model. The record is from RNAcentral.